Molecule: long non-coding RNA, 795 nt
Organism: Cucurbita moschata (crookneck pumpkin)
Lineage: Eukaryota; Viridiplantae; Streptophyta; Magnoliopsida; Cucurbitales; Cucurbitaceae
Exons: 3
Source: RefSeq, a predicted model, not a curated record
GAAAAAGACUGAUUUACGCCAUUCUUUGCUCCAAACCCUCCCUUGCCAACCAUUCUUCUGCUACAAACCCUCCCUUGCUAAUUGUCAAUGUCGGCUAGGCGUUGGUUAUCUAUAGUUAGGUCAAUCAACGUUAUAGCUGGAGCAGCCAUACUUACGGGCGCAUCGAAUUACACGUUGCAUCCUGGCGAGGCCGGGAUAAUAUUUAGAAAAUUUGGCGGAACGCCCAAGGAGGAGGGAUGCACUUCUCAAUCCAUUGGAUUGAUGAAAUUCGUAUUGUGGAUAUGACUUGUCGUCCACAGACGAUCACGCUCCAAUGCUUUUUACAGAAUUUACAGUCGGCGACCGUGACAGUAACAAUUCUCUAUCGACCUGAUCUCUCUCUCCUAGUAGAGAUGACAAGAAAACUAGGAUUCGAUUAUUACACAGAGGAAUAGAAGAUUAUCAUGCUUGGGAGCAAAAUCACUUGCUUGCUGAGAUCUCUGCUCGGACUGAGAUCUCUGCUCGGAAAGCCAAAAAGGCCGAGAUGAGCCCGGAAGAAGCUGAGACCUCUGCUCAGAAAGACAAAAAGGCCGAGACGAGGAAAACACUGUUGGCUUGUUUGCUUGAGUUUAUGAAGCCCAUGAAAAGUUAGGGUGUAAGAGUGUAUUUUUAAACGGUGAUUUUUUGUUUUUUUGGUCUAUAUGGUUUUUUGUUAUCAGUUUUUUUUGUAAUGUUCUUGUGUACUUCAUGAAAAGGUAAGGGUGUACUGGGUAUACUUCAGGAAGAAUUAGGGGUAUACUUCAUGAAGAAUUAGGG